This is a small nucleolar RNA of Tachyglossus aculeatus (Australian echidna), 138 nucleotides long. The record is from RefSeq and is a predicted model, not a curated record. Lineage: Eukaryota; Metazoa; Chordata; Mammalia; Monotremata; Tachyglossidae.
CCCAUCUCAGGAUAGCAUCUGGAGAGUUUCCAGUACUCUACCAGUCUCAGCUAUGGGAGGGAAAGUCAAGCAGAGGCCUACUCAUUCCAUUCCUAGCUUGGGCAAUGAUUAACAAGUGGAAGACAAUCUGCUACAAGU